Molecule: unclassified non-coding RNA, 263 nt
Filed under: Cryptococcus sp. (in: basidiomycete fungi)
Lineage: Eukaryota; Fungi; Basidiomycota; Tremellomycetes; Tremellales; Cryptococcaceae
Description: Cryptococcus sp. (in: Fungi) partial contains 5.8S ribosomal RNA, internal transcribed spacer 2, and large subunit ribosomal RNA
Source: RNAcentral
CGCACCUUGCACCUUUUGGUACUCCGAAAGGUAUGCCUGUUUGAGUGUCAUGAAAUCUCAAUCCCCUCGGGUUUUAUUACCCGGCGGUGGACUUGGACUUGGGCGUCUGCCAUUCAGUUGGCUCGCCUCAAAUGUGUCAGUGGGAUCCAGCAUCCACGGCCCGACGUAAUAAGUUUCGUCUGGUCGGAUGGUGUGAGCCUGCUCAUAACCCCCCAUAUUCUGACUCUGACCUCAAAUCAGGUAGGGCUACCCGCUGAACUUAA